This 963-nucleotide non-coding RNA is filed under the name Bothus myriaster (Indo-Pacific oval flounder). RNAcentral's name for it is "12S ribosomal RNA". It matches the Rfam family "Bacterial small subunit ribosomal RNA". The record is from RNAcentral. Lineage: Eukaryota; Metazoa; Chordata; Actinopteri; Pleuronectiformes; Bothidae.
CAAAGGUUUGGUCCUGGCCUUACUAUCAGCUCUAGUCAGAAUUACACAUGCAAGUAUCCGCGCCCCUGUGAGGAUACCCACAACCUCCUGAGUGGAGAAGUGGAGUCGGCAUCAGGCACUCCCUGCUUAGGGUCAAGAUUAGCCCAAGACGCCUUGUUAAGCCACACCCCCAAGGGUAAUCAGCAGUGAUAAACUUUAAGCCAUGAGCGAAAGCUUUACUUAGUCAAGACUAAAAGGGCCGGUAAAACUCGUGCCAGCAACCGCGGUUAUACGGGGGGCCCAAGUUGAUAGGCUUCGGCGCAAAGGGUGGUUAGGGAAACAAGAAUACUAAAGUUGAAGACCCUCAAGGCCGUGAUACGUCAUCUCGAGAGGACGAAGCUCAAUUGCGAAGGUAACUUUAUUAGACCUGAAGCCACGAAAGCUGAGGAACAAACUGGGAUUAGAUACCCCACUAUGCUCAGCCAUAAACAUAGAUAGAAUUUAACUAUUUCUGUCCGCCUGGGGACUACGGACAGCGGUCUAAAAACCAAAGGACUUGGCGGUGCUUUAUAUCCACCUAGAGGAGCCUGUUCUGUAACCGAUGAUCCCCGUUAAACCUCACCCUCCCUUGCUUAAUCAACCUAUAUACCGCCGCCGUCAGCUCACCCUGAGAAGGAAAAAUCGUGGGCGCAACUGGCACUGCCCAAAACGUCAGGUCGAGGUGUAGUAAAUGGGAGGGGAUUCGGAUGGGCUACAUUUGCUGUCUGCAGCAAACACGGAUAUCUUAUUGAAACAUAAGGUUGAAGGAGGAUUUAGUUGUAAGCGGAAAAUAGAGUGUUCCGCUGAAACCGGCCCUGAAGUGCGUACAUACCGCCCGUCACCCUCGCUGAGCCUUAGACGAUCGUAAAUAACCCGCUUUUAAGAAUACCAAGGGAGGAAAGUCGUAACAUGGUAAGCGUACCGGAAGGUGCGCUUGGACAAACA